AAUCAUUAAAUGACACGUGGAUCUUUAGAAACAAGUACUCUUAUUGAAAAAUAGAAAUUAAAACUUCUUCUUCCAAUAGCAGUUGGCUGGAUCGCUGCCAACGAGGCUAUCCCAAAACCAACAUGAACCCCCCUUGAGUUAAUCCUAGCGCUACAUCAACAUUUCUCCAUCAAAUGCUCAAAUCCAAACAUUAUGAAAUUCCUUUAUUUCAGCCAAGAUCUUAAGCGCCGCACAAGCUCCCUAGCCACAGACCAAUAUCUCCUUUUAUCGCCUCAAAUUCUUUUGAUGUGCUUUGAAGUCAACAAUGGCGGAAGAAAGAGCCAUCCAUGUUUGAGUGUGGAAAUUAAUGUUUCCUACAUCUUCAAUCUUUUGUGGCCUUUUACAUAGAGGAUUUUCUAUGAUUUUUAGUUUGAAAUUCAAGCAUAUGAGAAUAUUGUGAAAUUCUUAAGCACGCUCUUUCUCCUUUAUGUUAUUCACCAGCUGCAGAAAUUACAUGUCCUUCCACUUUUGCUUCGAUUAAAGGGGAAGUGGGUGAAAAAGAAUGAAAAAUUUUCCCCAGUCGAGAUCUAACGAUGGAGGUCCUACUCGAUUUGUAAUCUUCUUGAUUGGUAGGAUAACAAAUGGUAAUUUAAGGUGAGGUUUUCGUGUAUUUGUGUAAUAAUGGUGGUUUGAGUUAGAGGUGAGUGGAGAAGAUUUGAAGAAGAAGGUGAUUUAGGGUAGCUCCACAUAGUUUUUAGGAGAAAAAAAGAUAAAUCUAAUUUUAGGUAGGCAACUCGCGUCUUGGAGAGUGCAUAUCACGUAAUGAGGACUAUCAUUGAGUUAGGUACUUAAUUGAUUUUUUUUUUGC
Molecule: long non-coding RNA, 847 nt
Filed under: Nicotiana benthamiana
Lineage: Eukaryota; Viridiplantae; Streptophyta; Magnoliopsida; Solanales; Solanaceae
Description: long non-coding RNA (NBEN_LNC039954)
Source: RNAcentral